GUAGCAAUAGGGUUUUUGUUUCCCUUUUUUUUUUAAGAAAAAAAAUGGGGGGCCUAGAAAAAAAGCUUACAAGUCUUGUUUCAGGAAAGCAGCUGGAACAUUAAUGGCAAUUCCACUUUCCCAUUCAUCGCCCCCGCCCCCACCACCCCACCAAGAAACUCAGUGGGAAUGAAUGGUCUACACAGAGAAACUGAAAUCUGGUUAGUCAAGAAGGAAAAAACAACCAAGUGCCUGGCAUUAAGAGGAUUUUUUUUUUAAGCUCAGCCUAUGGACAACAAAAGCAUGGACUGUAUUUCUCAGCAUCUUUUGCACUUGAACAAGAUUAUUUUUUCCUUGAAAAUUGACAUGGAUGGUCUGCCACUGUGGGCUUUAUCUUCAACAUCGUCUCACCCUUCUUAUUAAUAACACAAGUUAUCCACUUGUAAACUGCUGUUUUUUUGGGGCUAUCCACUUGUAAACUGCUGUUUUUUUGGGGGCACUGUCACCAUAAACUUUUGAUAAGGCAUCAGUGAUUUCAACAUUCUUCACCCAAGCUUCACCAUAAAUUUGAUGUUUCUUUUUGCUUCAUUUUAGCAGAAUUUGUUCCAAUAGGGGCUCUUUUCGAACUGAUUUUUUUUUUCAUUUUUUUCCACUGGGAUUUUGAGAAAAUCAAACUGAUAGCCUUCUUAGUGCCUCAAACUAGAUCCUGUUCAGACACAAACAAGUU
Molecule: long non-coding RNA, 706 nt
Filed under: Homo sapiens (human)
Lineage: Eukaryota; Metazoa; Chordata; Mammalia; Primates; Hominidae
Description: LPGAT1 antisense RNA 1
Source: RNAcentral